AGCCGAAGUUUACACACAGGUGUAAACGGCAUUGCAAGUUUAGAGAAGAUGAGAAUGAGACUAGGGUAGUUGAGAUGAGUAGAGUUGAGCUGAGAUACGAUACUUCUAUUUAAUCAUACUGCCUAAAAGAGCACCCCUCUUUUAGGCUUUUUUC
Non-coding RNA from Bacillus pumilus SAFR-032, 154 nucleotides. The record is from Rfam. Lineage: Bacteria; Bacillati; Bacillota; Bacilli; Caryophanales; Bacillaceae.